AGUGAACGCUGGCGGUAGGCCUAACACAUGCAAGUCGAACGGCAGCACAGUAAGAGCUUGCUCUUACGGGUGGCGAGUGGCGGACGGGUGAGGAAUACAUCGGAAUCUACUUUUUCGUGGGGGUUAACGUAGGGAAACUUACGCUAAUACCGCAUACGACCUACGGGUGAAAGCAGUGGAUCUUCGGACCUUGCGCGAUUGAAUGAGCCGCUGUCGGAUUAGCUAGUUGGCGGGGUAAAGGCCCACCAAGGCGACGAUCCGUAGCUGGUCUGAGAGGAUGAUCAGCCACAUGGGAACGGAGACACGGUCCAGACUCCUACGGGAGGCAGCAGUGGGGAAUAUUGGACAAUGGGCGCAAGCCUGAUCCAGCCAUACCGCGUGGGUGAAGAAGGCCUUCGGGUUGUAAAGCCCUUUUGUUGGGAAAGAAAAGCAGCAGGUUAAUACCCCGCUGUUCUGACGGUACCCAAAGAAUAAGCACCGGCUAACUUCGUG
Molecule: ribosomal RNA, 492 nt
Filed under: uncultured bacterium
Lineage: Bacteria
Description: partial 16S ribosomal RNA
Rfam family: Bacterial small subunit ribosomal RNA
Source: RNAcentral